GGGUCGUUAGCUCAGUUGGUAGAGCAGCGGACUUUUAAUCCGUUGGUCGCAGGUUCGAAUCCCGCACGACCUA
This 73-nucleotide transfer RNA is filed under the name Serpentinimonas raichei. RNAcentral's name for it is "Comamonadaceae bacterium A1 tRNA". It matches the Rfam family "tRNA". Rfam says of the family: Transfer RNA (tRNA) molecules are approximately 80 nucleotides in length. Their secondary structure includes four short double-helical elements and three loops (D, anti-codon, and T loops). Lineage: Bacteria; Pseudomonadati; Pseudomonadota; Betaproteobacteria; Burkholderiales; Comamonadaceae. The record is from Rfam by way of RNAcentral.